UUUGAUGGCGACCGGCGCACGGGUGAGUAACACGUAUCCAACCUGCCGAUGACUCGGGGAUAGCCUUUCGAAAGAAAGAUUAAUACCCGAUGGCAUAGUUCUUCCGCAUGGUAGAACUAUUAAAGAAUUUCGGUCAUCGAUGGGGAUGCGUUCCAUUAGGUUGUUGGCGGGGUAGCGGCCCACCAAGCCUUCGAUGGAUAGGGGUUCUGAGAGGAAGGUCCCCCACAUUGGAACUGAGACACGGUCCAAACUCCUACGGGAGGCAGCAUG
RNAcentral lists this ribosomal RNA (270 nucleotides) under uncultured bacterium. RNAcentral describes it as "partial 16S ribosomal RNA". It matches the Rfam family "Bacterial small subunit ribosomal RNA", at positions 84 to 353 of the family's 1533-position model. The record is from RNAcentral.